Molecule: non-coding RNA, 72 nt
Organism: Tritrichomonas musculus
Lineage: Eukaryota; Parabasalia; Tritrichomonadida; Tritrichomonadidae
Source: the annotation of a GenBank genome assembly
GCCUUGGUAGUUUAAUGGUUAGAACGCAUUUCUCACCCAUUUGUAGUAUCGGUUCGAUUCCGUUCCGAGGCA